CGAAUGCCUUAUUUGACAUUUUCACGUAGUGCAUAAUGAAUUAAUUUUUGGACAUAUUUGCAGCUAAUGUUAUUUUGUGACUUCAUGUACAAACCACUGAAAAUGAUGUAAGGCAGAAUGAGAGCAACACCAGACGUCGAUUUUUAUAUCCAAAGACUUGUGAGGAUAAAACAAAUCUUGUGCAAAAAGAAAUAUAUAAAAACACCAAAAACAAAACUCACAACGAGCAUUGUCAACCAAAUUGGUGCUAGAGGAGACAACCCAAAACAUGAAACAAAUGGUUGUGAAAUAAGAUUCUGGUAGUGUAAAAUUAAUUUAAAAGUUGUUUUUUUUUCUCCAGAAACCGUCUUGAUGAGUGAAGAAAUUAUUGUAUUGGAAGGUGAACUUAAUAAAAUUGUUUUCUGUAAUUGUCA
This is a long non-coding RNA of Mytilus californianus (California mussel), 413 nucleotides long. RefSeq lists it as uncharacterized. The record is from RefSeq and is a predicted model, not a curated record. NCBI's taxonomy places the organism in Eukaryota, Metazoa, Mollusca, Bivalvia, Mytilida, Mytilidae. The transcript has 2 exons.